This 30-nucleotide non-coding RNA is filed under the name Mus musculus (house mouse). The record is from RNAcentral. Lineage: Eukaryota; Metazoa; Chordata; Mammalia; Rodentia; Muridae.
UUCAAUUUCUCUUUUAUGAUUAGUAGUGCA